Molecule: transfer RNA, 72 nt
Filed under: Chloroflexota bacterium
Lineage: Bacteria; Bacillati; Chloroflexota
Description: Chloroflexi bacterium tRNA-Met
Rfam family: tRNA
About the family: Transfer RNA (tRNA) molecules are approximately 80 nucleotides in length. Their secondary structure includes four short double-helical elements and three loops (D, anti-codon, and T loops).
Source: RNAcentral
GCGUCUGUAGCUCAGUGGUAGAGCAGAGGUAUCAUAAGCCUCAGGCCGAGGGUUCAAUUCCCUCCAGGCGCA